This 912-nucleotide ribosomal RNA is filed under the name uncultured bacterium. Its description in RNAcentral is "bacterial SSU rRNA". It matches the Rfam family "Bacterial small subunit ribosomal RNA", at positions 8 to 916 of the family's 1533-position model. The record is from RNAcentral.
AGAGUUUGAUCCUGGCUCAGAUUGAACGCUGGCGGCAUGCCUUACACAUGCAAGUCGAACGGCAGCACGGGGGCAACCCUGGUGGCGAGUGGCGAACGGGUGAGUAAUAUAUCGGAACGUGCCCUGGAGUGGGGGAUAGCUCGGCGAAAGCCGGAUUAAUACCGCAUACGAUCUAAGGAUGAAAGUGGGGGAUCGCAAGACCUCAUGCUCCUGGAGCGGCCGAUAUCUGAUUAGCUAGUUGGUAGGGUAAAAGCCUACCAAGGCAUCGAUCAGUAGCUGGUCUGAGAGGACGACCAGCCACACUGGAACUGAGACACGGUCCAGACUCCUACGGGAGGCAGCAGUGGGGAAUUUUGGACAAUGGGGGCAACCCUGAUCCAGCAAUGCCGCGUGUGUGAAGAAGGCCUUCGGGUUGUAAAGCACUUUUGGCGGGAACGAAACGGUCCGGGCUAAUACCCUGGACUAAUGACGGUACCCGCAGAAUAAGCACCGGCUAACUACGUGCCAGCAGCCGCGGUAAUACGUAGGGUGCAAGCGUUAAUCGGAAUUACUGGGCGUAAAGCGUGCGCAGGCGGUUGUGCAAGACAGAUGUGAAAUCCCCGGGCUCAACCUGGGAAUUGCAUUUGUGACUGCACGGCUAGAGUGUGUCAGAGGGGGGUAGAAUUCCACGUGUAGCAGUGAAAUGCGUAGAUAUGUGGAGGAACACCGAUGGCGAAGGCAAUCCCCUGGACCUGUACUGACGCUCAUGCACGAAAGCGUGGGGAGCAAACAGGAUUAGAUACCCUGGUAGUCCACGCCCUAAACGAUGUCAACUGGUUGUUGGGUGCAUUAGUACUCAGUAACGAAGCUAACGCGUGAAGUUGACCGCCUGGGGAGUACGGCCGCAAGGUUGAAACUCAAAUGAAUUGACGG